AUUGAACGCUGGCGGUAUGCUUAACACAUGCAAGUCGAACGGUAACAGGCCUUCGGGCGCUGACGAGUGGCGGACGGGUGAGUAACGCGUAGGAAUCUGCCUCAUAGUGGGGGACAACGUGGGGAAACUCACGCUAAUACCGCAUACGCCCUACGGGGGAAAGCGGGGGAUCUUCGGACCUCGCGCUAUGAGAUGAGCCUGCGUUAGAUUAGCUAGUUGGUAGGGUAAAGGCCUACCAAGGCGACGAUCUAUAGCUGGUCUGAGAGGACGAUCAGCCACACUGGGACUGAGACACGGCCCAGACUCCUACGGGAGGCAGCAGUGGGGAAUAUUGGACAAUGGGCGCAAGCCUGAUCCAGCAAUGCCGCGUGGAUGAAGAAGGUCUUCGGAUUGUAAAGUCCUUUCGGCGGGGACGAUGAUGACGGUACCCGCAGAAGAAGCCCCGGCUAACUUCGUGCCAGCAGCCGCGGUAAU
This 474-nucleotide ribosomal RNA is filed under the name uncultured bacterium. Its description in RNAcentral is "bacterial SSU rRNA". It matches the Rfam family "Bacterial small subunit ribosomal RNA", at positions 30 to 524 of the family's 1533-position model. The record is from RNAcentral.